GACGAACGCUGGCGGCGUGCUUAACACAUGCAAGUCGAGCGGUAAGGCCCUUUCGGGGUACGACGAGCGGCGAACGGGUGAGUAACACGUGGGUGACCUGCCCUUACGCUCUGGGAUAAGCCUGGGAAACGUGGGUCUAAUACCGGAUAUGACUCCAUGACGCAUGUUGUGGGGUGGAAAGCCUUGUGCGGCUAGGGAUGGGCCUGCGGCCUAUCAGCUUGUUGGUGGGGUGAUGGCCUACCAAGGCGACGACGGGUAGCCGGCCUGA
This 268-nucleotide ribosomal RNA is filed under the name uncultured bacterium. RNAcentral describes it as "partial 16S ribosomal RNA". It matches the Rfam family "Bacterial small subunit ribosomal RNA", at positions 28 to 295 of the family's 1533-position model. The record is from RNAcentral.